GAUGAACGCUGGCGGCGUGCUUAACACAUGCAAGUCGAACGAAGCAUUUAAGACGGAUUCUUUCGGGAUGAAGACUUUUAUGACUGAGUGGCGGACGGGUGAGUAACGCGUGGGUAACCUGCCUCACACAGGGGGAUAGCAGUUGGAAACGGCUGAUAAUACCGCAUAAGCGCACAGUACCGCAUGGUACAGUGUGAAAAACUCCGGUGGUGUGAGAUGGACCCGCGUCUGAUUAGCUGGUUGGAGGGGUAAACGGCCCACCAAGGCGACGAUCAGUAGCCGGUCUGAGAGGAUGAACGGCCACACUGGAACUGAGACACGGGUCCAGGACUCCUACGGGAGCAGCAGUGGGGAAUCUUCCGGCAAUGGGCGAAAGCCUGACGGAGCAACGCCGCGUGAGUGAUGACGGCCUC
This 413-nucleotide ribosomal RNA is filed under the name uncultured bacterium. RNAcentral's name for it is "bacterial SSU rRNA". It matches the Rfam family "Bacterial small subunit ribosomal RNA", at positions 28 to 418 of the family's 1533-position model. The record is from RNAcentral.